This 452-nucleotide ribosomal RNA is filed under the name uncultured bacterium. RNAcentral describes it as "SSU rRNA". It matches the Rfam family "Bacterial small subunit ribosomal RNA", at positions 26 to 518 of the family's 1533-position model. The record is from RNAcentral.
AGAACGAACGCUGGCGGCAUGCCUAACACAUGCAAGUCGAACGUGAUCCAGGCUUCGGCCUGGUGAAAGUGGCAGACGGGUGAGUAACGCGUGGGAACCUGCCCUGUGGUAGGGAAUAACCGUGGGAAACUGCGGCUAAUACCCUAUGAGUCCUUCGGGAGAAAGAUUUAUCGCCAUAGGAGGGGCCCGCGUCGGAUUAGGUAGUUGGUGGGGUAACGGCCUACCAAGCCUUCGAUCCGUAGCUGGUCUGAGAGGAUGAUCAGCCACACUGGGACUGAGAUACGGCCCAGACUCCUACGGGAGGCAGCAGUGGGGAAUAUUGGACAAUGGGGGCAACCCUGAUCCAGCAAUGCCGCGUGGAUGAUGAAGACCUUCGGGUUGUAAAGUCCUUUCGGCGGGAAGAUGAUGACGGUACCGCAGAGAAACCCGGCUAACUUCGUGCCAGCAGCCGC